UACAGAGGUCUCGAGCGUUAGGCGGAAUCACUGGGCUUAAAGCGUGUGUAGGCGGAUUGCUAAGUACCUUGUGAAAUCCCUCAGCUCAACUGAGGAAUUGCGCCCGAAACUGCUGUGCUAGAGGAAGACAGGGGUACGCGGAACUUAGGGUGGAGCGGUGAAAUGCGUUGAUAUCCUAAGGAACACCGGUGGCGUAAGCGGCGUACUGGGUCUUAUCUGACGCUGAGGCACGAAAGCUAGGGGAGCGAACGGG
RNAcentral lists this ribosomal RNA (253 nucleotides) under uncultured bacterium. Its description in RNAcentral is "partial 16S ribosomal RNA". It matches the Rfam family "Bacterial small subunit ribosomal RNA", at positions 524 to 776 of the family's 1533-position model. The record is from RNAcentral.